UUCCAGACUCCUACGGGAGGCAGCAGUGAGGAAUAUUGGUCAAUGGCCGAAGGGCUGAACCAGCCAAGCCGCGUGAAGGAAUAAGGCCCUACGGGUCGUAAACUUCUUUAGUCAGGGAACAAAGGGUGCCACGUGUGGCGCUGUGAGUGUACCUGAAGAAUAAGCAUCGGCUAACUCCGUGCCAGCAGCCGCGGUAAUACGGAGGAUGCGAGCGUUAUCCGGAUUUAUUGGGUUUAAAGGGUGCGCAGGCGGAAGAUCAAGUCAGCGGUAAAAUUGAGAGGCUCAACCCCUUCGAGCCGUUGAAACUGGUUUUCUUGAGUGAGCGAGAAGUAUGCGGAAUGCGUGGUGUAGCGGUGAAAUGCAUAGAUAUCACGCAGAACUCCGAUUGCGAAGGCAGCAUACCGGCGCUCAACUGACGCUCAUGCACGAAAGUGUGGGUAUCGAACAGGAUUAGAUACCCCGGUAC
Molecule: ribosomal RNA, 466 nt
Filed under: uncultured bacterium
Lineage: Bacteria
Description: bacterial SSU rRNA
Rfam family: Bacterial small subunit ribosomal RNA
Source: RNAcentral